Molecule: non-coding RNA, 28 nt
Filed under: Mus musculus (house mouse)
Lineage: Eukaryota; Metazoa; Chordata; Mammalia; Rodentia; Muridae
Source: RNAcentral
UGAAGCUCACACAAGGGACAGCCACUGU